This is a long non-coding RNA of Brienomyrus brachyistius, 2072 nucleotides long. RefSeq lists it as uncharacterized. The transcript has 2 exons. Lineage: Eukaryota; Metazoa; Chordata; Actinopteri; Osteoglossiformes; Mormyridae. The record is from RefSeq and is a predicted model, not a curated record.
CUCAGUCAAUCACGAUGAAAUGCGAAACGCCCACAGGCGCCGGAAGGUUACGCUGGACCGCGGACGCUGUCGAGUGCGCGCAGGUGUCUGGCCACUUCGAGAGAGCAGUGUUCAUGCAGGAUUUGGUGAACCAGCAGCCCUUUCUUGGUGUCCAUCCGACUAGUUCAUUGAUGUGCUAGGCAGCCAUUAAGGCAAUCAAGGGGAGGUGACAACUGAAAGGUGAUUUCAGAGGAGGUGGGUAUUUUAAAAAGCUGUUUUCUGUACUACGCUCCAUGAAGGAGGUGUCAUGCAGCCCUAACACAAAGUAUAUUACAUAUGCAAUUUAAUCAUGAUUAAAUCAUGCAUUUUUAUACUGCGUCACAAUAUAAAUGUUUGUGUUAACCCAAUUAUUGAAAGGUUUUUUGUAAUACUUUUCUGUUCAAGGGCAAAGGGUUCAGUCUGUAAUGCGUUAAGGUGGUUGCCAUAUGAUAAUAUUUUGGCUUUUAAUCAUAUAAUCAAUGAAGAUCAAAAUUUGUGAAAAUUUCAACAGAGUCAUAGUUUUGUCUUGUACGCCAAGUUGUGCGUCUGACUUGGGGCAAGUUAAAGAUACGAAGUAGUCAGGACCCGAGUGGGACUGAAUUUCUGAUCGGGAGUUCGAGCCCCCGGACAGCCCAAUAAAGUAUCUAAACAAUCACACUAUUGUUUAUGUUUCUAUUCAGAUAUAAGUAACAUAGUGUUAAAGCGUGGCGCAGCUUUGACAGAAAUAAGGAAGUAUGUAUAAAAUAUAUGAUCUGUGCAAAUUUCAAAAUCGCUUGCAAAGAACAUUAAAGAUGCACACGGACAAUGUUUCCAUGUAAAUGCGCUGUGACAGUCUGCUAUUAAACCAACUUCCCAGUAGUAAGAAAGAUGUUUUCUUUUAUACACAAUGCAGUUUACUACACAGUGGCCCAUUCUGCAUAGAUAUACAUUCCGACAUAAAUCAUAUGUCAAAUACCAUUCACAUGUCUGAGUACGUACUUGUGCCCCCAUUAGGACAUCAGCUGAGUAGGCAGCCCUUUAGUGUGGCCCGGGACACAAUCGCGUUCGCGCUGCUAUAAGAAUGUGCCCAUAUGCAUCUCAGACCACCUCCGGAUGUGGUUUGUGUGAUCGGAUCCCGAGGUGCUGCUCCUGUGCAUUUUGGGUGCUUUCACUAAUUACCAUUACUAUCAUCAGCUUCAUUACUGGCGGCCGCACAAGCUGGGAUUUGUGUCACGAAGUAAUAUUACCAGUAAUAUCACAAAAUAAUAUAGUGAAAUUCUACAUCAUCUAACAUUUUGUUAGAUGCAACAAAGAGCAUGGUGCUUAAAAAGGCUCACACAUCCAGGGGAGGGAAUUGGACCCACACCCCUGGAGAGCAGCUUCCAGUAAUUUUGCAUACUUCAAGAAGCAAAGUGAGAUUAUCAAGGGGUCAAAACUAAAUCUGCACUGCAGUAUACAAUUAACCACUGAGGUAUUUUCUAAACUAUCUUGCAUCCCUGUGCUCAGUGUUUAAUAGUCAGUUUGAUAUUAUGGUAAAGGUAUCCAGUUGUAUGCACUGGUUUGUUUCACGUACAAAUUUUCAAGCCAGAGUUGAAUGUGUUUUUCUCUUGUUCUGUGUGCUAACAUCCCUCAGCAUUCUGUUACUGGUAAUGUACAGUCCUCUUCCUGUCUGGUUGGGUGGUUCUGCAAAUGGUGACGUGCAAGGCAUUCUGGGAUAUCCUGAAGGGGGCGAUGGCACGCAAAAUGAAAACAGUACAGCUCACAUGAAAGCAGAUACAGCAAAGCAAAAGUACUUUGGGGAAUACUUGUUCAGAAUCGCUGUAGGCUGAGAUUUGCCCAUAUGAAUGGAAAACCAUGAACUAAACACACUUGCUCUGGAGAGACAUGCCGUCUGACUCGGAGAGCAACUCAUACUUACCUGGCAGGGGAGAUACCAUGAUCAAGAAGGUGGUUCACCCAGGGCGAGGCUCAGCCAUUGCACUCCGGUUGUGCUGACCCCUGCGAAUUCCCCAAAUGUGGGAAUCUCGACUGCAUAAUUUCUGGUAGUGGGGGACUGCGUUCGCGCUCUCCCCUGA